GCGGCACCUUGACGGUACCUAACCAGAAAGCCACGGCUAACUACGUGCCAGCAGCCGCGGUAAUACGUAGGUGGCAAGCGUUGUCCGGAAUUAUUGGGCGUAAAGGGCUCGCAGGCGGUUUCUUAAGUCUGAUGUGAAAGCCCCCGGCUCAACCGGGGAGGGUCAUUGGAAACUGGGGAACUUGAGUGCAGAAGAGGAGAGUGGAAUUCCACGUGUAGCGGUGAAAUGCGUAGAGAUGUGGAGGAACACCAGUGGCGAAGGCGACUCUCUGGUCUGUAACUGACGCUGAGGAGCGAAAGCGUGGGGAGCGAACAGGAUUAGAUACCCUGGUAGUCCACGCCGUAAACGAUGAGUGCUAAGUGUUAGGGGGUUUCCGCCCCUUAGUGCUGCAGCUAACGCAUUAAGCACUCCGCCUGGGGAGUACGGUCGCAAGACUGAAACUCAAAGGAAU
Molecule: ribosomal RNA, 451 nt
Filed under: Bacillus atrophaeus
Lineage: Bacteria; Bacillati; Bacillota; Bacilli; Caryophanales; Bacillaceae
Description: bacterial SSU rRNA
Rfam family: Bacterial small subunit ribosomal RNA
Source: RNAcentral